This 2741-nucleotide small RNA is filed under the name Rattus norvegicus (Norway rat). RNAcentral describes it as "uncharacterized LOC102553995". The record is from RNAcentral. Lineage: Eukaryota; Metazoa; Chordata; Mammalia; Rodentia; Muridae.
CCUGACGGGAUCGCCUAAUCCAACUUAAACCAAAGCAAAACCAGUGGUCCAGCAACUGAGUAUUUGUGUUUAUUGGGUCCCUGGGAGUCUGCGAUAGAAUUAUAGGCUUUUAAGUCAUUAGUGGAACCCUAAAGAACAAGGGUGAAGGAAAGGGGUGGGUAGAGGGUCCAAAGUACACGGAUGAGACAGUUGUUAUUAAAUGUGGCACGUUUUCAAGGUCUAUAAACUACCUGUCCGUCUCCUGAGCAAGGUGGGUUGCACCUGUCAAACAGACGAACUAAAUAAAAACGUCAGGAAAUGGGAUACUGUACAGGCCAUUCUGCAGCCGGGCGAGCUGCCGCUUGGUGUCUACACGCCAGGCAGCGUUACUGCUUCUCUAUUGGUACCAGAAGUGCUUGGUGGAGCUCCGUGGCUGUACUAUCUGAAAGAAGGCCGCUUGGAGCAAGGCCCUCGGCCUAGUGGGGAUUUCCUUCCCUUUGCCUCAGCGGCUUCAGGUGCAGUCUUUGCCCAUAGCAAGUUGACUGGAGGCAGUAGCAUCGAGUAUCAGGUUAAGAGGAGCCUUCUUCAGGCCAGCUCUCUGGCAUGUCAUGUGACCGUCUGACAACUCCACUGCCUUAUUCCUUGGGGCAGGUCUCAGGGUCAGUCAAUAUCAAAUCAGAGGGUUUUCGUGACCCCUCCCACCUUGCAUGACUCCUCCCACUUUGCAUGACUCCUCCCACUGUGCAUUCAGCCCAGCAACUGUACAAAAACAAAAAUAGGGAACACUUCAGGCAACGUGGUAAAGGGAUUUAGGGUUAAAGGCAUGAUUUGAGUGGAGGAAGGGAGGGUGUUGGUGGUUAGAAUGGUGCCCCCCCCCCCAGCCUAGGGACAUCUCAAUGGCUCCCCGAAGGUUAAGUUUUUUUGAGAGGUGUUCUGCACCUCUCUAAUGUGGAAUUGCUUUCUGGGAGGUCAGCAGUGCUGUGAUAAAAGCCCAUUUGGAAAAAAAAAAAUCAAUCUGAAACAUUAAAGUGGAAAUAAUUCCAUGCUCAGCUAUAGAAAGUAGGAAACACAUUUCACUGAUGAAAAGCUUUUAAACAUAAUAUAGACCUUCAUUUCCUAAUCCAUAAAGUGAGAGGUUUGGAUCAGGCGACCUUGAAGGUCAUUUGUCCCCCUUUGUUUUGGUUUUAGGAGUCUUAAACUCCCUCUUGCAUAUUUUUAAGAGUCUCAGGGGUUGGGGUUUGUUUACAUAUCUCUGAUUUUUUUUUCUCUGUUCACUCACCAUUUCCAUCUGCAUUUCUAACUUGGAUAAGUAUGUCUCCGUGUGUGGGGUGAGUUGUGGUAAACCCCGCUGCUAAGCAUAUAUAGCCAAGAUCCCUUCCAUUUUUAAUACGCUAUGAUUUUCAUAAUGCCUGCGCUUGUUUUCCCCGUCUGAAAAAUAGAAGCAGUAAUUCCUGCAUCUCUCCUUCUCCAACUGCUGAGUCGUGGGUAUUUGGAAUAUUGGAUGUAAAUAAUGGUGUGGAAGCUCCCGGGUGCCCUGCGUUCUUGGAGCUCUGCUCUAGACUGUGACAACCCUGGAAUACCUAAGCGUUCCAGCUUUUAUCGCCACCCGACCUUCCUGUCUCCAAGCACGCACACGGCCCAGCCCUGCCACCCUUCCUCAAGUGCGGAACCCUCAGUUUUUAACAAAGAGAAAGGGCGUUCUCGUGCAUUCUUUAUUAAGCUCCUCGUGGUGAUCAGGAUGAAGUGAGCAGUCAGCCAAUCCAUUCCUGACUGCGAGUGUUCACCGGAUGCAUGAGGAGCCCACCAGGGUCCUGGUAGUCAUGGAAACUCUGUGAUGUCAUCAAGCGAGCGCCUUCCAGUGAGAGGAUGCAGCCCAUGGAGGACAACGGACAGUGAGCGGGGUCUCUAUGCCUGCCUCUUCUAUGUUUGGUUUCCCCGUGUUUACGAAUUGCCAUCGAAUGUGAAAAAUGAGUGAUCAGACAAUACUUGUUAAGCCAUUAAACAGAUGAGCCAAACAAGGUCCUACUGGCUAUCAUUUGUGGUAGAGAUAGGAUCUCUACCAAGGUUACUCUGCUUGAAGAUCCGGGUUCUUAUCAGGUGCCGUGCCUAAUGCCCUGUGAAUUUUUCUCAUCUACUUAAAAUGGCAGCCCUCUAAGACAGUUAUCUUUGACUUGCAGCUCUGCUCCAGGAAGUCCAUCACCUUGUACAAGCUCUUGCUACACGUGCUGAGGGCACUGGGACCCGUCUUCCUUCACAGUUUGGCUUUCUCACCAAACAGCCAAGGUGUCCCCUUCGCAGCAAGGAAACAUGCUGGCUCCUGCUCUAAGUAGGCUAGCUCUCUGGCGUUCUGUGUGGCUUUUGACUUCAUGCACUUGAGCCCCGGGAACAUCUCUACAGACCGGUGUGCUACUUUUCAAGACAGGCGCCAUGUACUCAGCAUCUCUCUGUCCUUCUGGCAGAGCCUGCUGCUCAGUUGGGGUGACGGCAUCAUCAGUCACCCGUAUGGUGCGAGCUGCAGCUGGCACGGCCAUAUGGGUGCGCUGAAAGUUCUGAAUAACGGCAGGGAGCUUUGUCGGAUCGUUCGGAAAGCUGGAGUAUGGGACCAGGAGUCCCUUGGCACAGGGGAACUUCUAGUCAGAUCCUCUGCCAUCUCCACUAUCCUUCUGAACUUAGUAAGCUGUACCUCGCGGCAAAGUAGGAGAAAUAAAUGUAUGCGUGGCGGAACUUAUGAGCAAAACCACUGCAGCAAAACCCAGCUCAAA